GAUGAACGCUGGCGGCGUGCCUAAUACAUGCAAGUCGAGCGAACGGACGAGAAGCUUGCUUCUCUGAUGUUAGCGGCGGACGGGUGAGUAACACGUGGAUAACCUACCUAUAAGACUGGGAUAACUUCGGGAAACCGGAGCUAAUACCGGAUAAUAUUUUGAACCGCAUGGUUCAAAAGUGAAAGACGGUCUUGCUGUCACUUAUAGAUGGAUCCGCGCUGCAUUAGCUAGUUGGUAAGGUAACGGCUUACCAAGGCAACGAUGCAUAGCCGACCUGAGAGGGUGAUCGGCCACACUGGAACUGAGACACGGUCCAGACUCCUACGAGAGGCAGCAGUAGGGAAUCUUACGCAAUGGGCGAAAGCCUGACGGAGCAACGCCGCGUGAGUGAUGAAGGUCUUCGGAUCGUAAAACUCUGUUAUUAGGGAAGAACAUAUGUGUAAGUAACUGUGCACAUCGUGACGGUACCUAAUCAGAAAGCCACGGCUAACUACGUG
RNAcentral lists this ribosomal RNA (497 nucleotides) under uncultured bacterium. Its description in RNAcentral is "partial 16S ribosomal RNA". It matches the Rfam family "Bacterial small subunit ribosomal RNA", at positions 28 to 507 of the family's 1533-position model. The record is from RNAcentral.